Non-coding RNA from Lepidopterella palustris CBS 459.81, 80 nucleotides. NCBI's taxonomy places the organism in Eukaryota, Fungi, Ascomycota, Dothideomycetes, Mytilinidiales, Argynnaceae. The record is from the annotation of a GenBank genome assembly.
GGUGGUAUGGUCUAGUGGUAUGACGUCACGUUGUGGUUUACAACUCCGUGCCAGCCUGGGUUCGAUUCCCAGUACCGCCA